UUGUGCCUCAAUCCCCACUUCUCUGCACUGGGAGACCUAGGUUCAAUUCUUCAGAACUGGCAUCAACUUCUCGCUGAAGGUUUGAACUAGUCCAAGAAUGGCCUGCCUGACCAGUUUGAUUGCUCUCGCCUGGCUAAUUAUUUGACAACUCUUUUGAGUAAACACCAUAAGGGUGCUCGGCAGGUGUGAUGCAGAUUGCCGUGUUUCCGCGUCUUCCUGAACUCAGCUGGGUGUUAUUUCUCAUGCUUCUUGUGGUUAAAGUGAAGCCCGUGCGACUGGAUUCCAGGCGAUGGAAUACAGGGAUCUACUCUAGAACACCUCUCCAAGACCAAAGCCACCACAUUGCUGUAAAAGACAAAGGGCCCCAGCACCAAUCCGUCAGCGAUGGCAGAAGAAAGGAAACUCCUUCGCCAUGCUGGAUCUAGCAUAUGAUGUGUGCAGAACUGAUUCGAACAGAUGCUCAUGUGGUGGUAUUGGAAACCUUCGUAGUGCAUCAGCGUUCAGUGUUGACACUUGCAAGAGCUGAGUCAUUCUCUGACAUGCUUUUCUGACCUUCAGUGUUUGCUAAGGAACCUCAGAAGAACACAGCUUUCCAAUCAAAUGUGGUCUUACGGGGUUCUACCUAGAAGUUUUCAAUGCAGCAAAAAACAAACCUGAAAGGAAAGCCUAUGAGUCAUCAAGUACUAUUAAUAAGAGAAGGGGAGGACACCUGUGGUUGACUUCAGCUCGACAGCGCUGGCGUGAAUGGGACUCAUUUCU
This is a long non-coding RNA of Molossus molossus (Pallas's mastiff bat), 759 nucleotides long. RefSeq lists it as uncharacterized. The record is from RefSeq and is a predicted model, not a curated record. Lineage: Eukaryota; Metazoa; Chordata; Mammalia; Chiroptera; Molossidae. The transcript has 7 exons.